RNAcentral lists this ribosomal RNA (520 nucleotides) under uncultured Corynebacterium sp. RNAcentral describes it as "bacterial SSU rRNA". It matches the Rfam family "Bacterial small subunit ribosomal RNA", at positions 1 to 507 of the family's 1533-position model. Lineage: Bacteria; Bacillati; Actinomycetota; Actinomycetes; Mycobacteriales; Corynebacteriaceae. The record is from RNAcentral.
CCCGUCGUGUGCGUUCGGCACGUCGUCAGUACGAGUUUGAUCCUCGCGUACAGGACGAACGCUGGCGGCGUGCUUAACACAUGCAAGUCGAACGAAAGGACCCUGCUUGCAGGGUACGUCGAGUGGCGAACGGGUGAGUAACACGUGGGUGAGUCUGCCCUGCACUUCGGGAUAAGCCUGGGAAACUGGGUCUAAUACCGGAUAGGAGCCAUUUUAGUGUGAUGGUUGGAAAGUUUUUUCGGCGUAGGAUGAGCUCGCGGCCUAUCAGCUUGUUGUGGGGUAAUGGCCUACCAAGGCGGCGACGGGGUAGCCGGGCCUGAGAGGGUGGACGGCCACAUUGGGACUGAGAUACGGCCCAGACUCCUACGGGAGGCAGCAGUGGGGAAUAUUGCACAAUGGGCGCAAGCCUGAUGCAGCGACGCCGCAUGGGGGAUGACGGCCUUCGGGUUGUAAACUCCUUUCGCUAGGGACGAAGCUUUUUGUGACGGUACCUAGAUAAGAAGCACCGGCUAACUACGUG